Molecule: ribosomal RNA, 468 nt
Filed under: uncultured bacterium
Lineage: Bacteria
Description: partial 16S ribosomal RNA
Rfam family: Bacterial small subunit ribosomal RNA
Source: RNAcentral
GACGAACGCUGGCGGCGUGCUUAACACAUGCAAGUCGAACGGACAGGCCCUGAUCUUGUGGGGUGCUCGAGUGGCGAACGGGGGAGUAACACGUGAGUAAACUGCCCCUGACUUUGGGAUAACUUCAGGAAAAUGGGGCUAAUACCGGAUAGGAGCUACUGCUGCAUGGUGGGGGUUGGAAAGUUUCGGCGGUUGGGGAUGGACGCGCGGCUUAUCAGCUUGUUGGUGGGGUAGCGGCUUACCAAGGCUUUGACGGGUAGCCGGCCUGAGAGGGUGACCGGCCACAUUGGGACUGAGGUACGGCCCAGACUCCUACGGGAGGCAGCAGUGGGGAAUAUUGCACAAUGGGCGGAAGCCUGAUGCAGCAGCGCCGCGUGCGGGAUGACGGCCUUCGAGUUGUAAACCGCUUUCGCCUGUGACGAAGCGUGAGUGACGGUAAUGGGUAAAGAAGCACCGGCUAACUACGUG